Molecule: ribosomal RNA, 886 nt
Filed under: uncultured bacterium
Lineage: Bacteria
Description: bacterial SSU rRNA
Rfam family: Bacterial small subunit ribosomal RNA
Source: RNAcentral
AACGAACGCUGGCGGCGUGCUUAAUACAUGCAAGUCGUGCGAGAAAUCCCGGGCUUGCUCGGGAGAGUAAAGCGGCGAACGGGUGCGUAACACGUGGGCAACCUGCCCUCGGGUUGGGGAUAAGCCUUCGAAAGAGGGUCUAAUACCGAAAACAUCACUUUAAGGCAUCUUUUAGUGAUUAAAGGUGGCUUCGGCUAUCGCCUGAGGAUGGGCCCGCGGUCCAUUAGCUUGUUGGUAGAGUAACAGCCUACCAAGGCUGCGAUGGAUAGCCGACCUGAGAGGGUGAUCGGCCACACUGGGACUGAGAUACGGCCCAGACUCCUACGGGAGGCAGCAGUAGGGAAUUUUGCGCAAUGCCCGAAAGGGUGACGCAGCAACGCCGCGUGUGGGAUGAAGCUUCUUGGAGCGUAAACCACUGUCAGUUGGGACGAAAUGCCUAUACUCUAACAUAGUUUAGGUUUGACGGUACCUUCAGAGGAAGCUCCGGCCAACUCCGUGCCAGCAGCCGCGGUAACACGGGGGGGGCAAGCGUUGUUCGGAAUUACUGGGCGUAAAGGGUACGCAGGCGGGAAGGCAGGUCAGAUGUGAAACCCCAUGGCUCAGCCAUGGGCCUGCAUACGAUACCACCUUUCUUGAGUAUCGGAGAGGAAAGCGGAACUCCUGGUGUAGCGGUGAAAUGCGUAGAUAUCAGGAGGAACACCCGUGGCGAAGGCGGCUUUCUGGCCGAAUACUGACGCUCAUGUACGAAGGCCGGGGGAGCAAACAGGAUUAGAUACCCUGGUAGUCCCGGCGGUAAACGAUGGGUACUAGGUGAUGGAGGAGUCGACCCCUUCAGUGCCGCAGCUAACGCAUUAAGUACCCCGCCUGGGGAGACGAUCGCAAGGUU